GGGCCCGCACAAGCGGUGGAGCAUGUGGUUUAAUUCGAUGAUACGCGAGGAACCUUACCAGGGCUUAAAUGUAAGUUGCAUUAGAUAGAGAUAUCUAUUUCUUCGGACCACUUACAAGGUGCUGCAUGGUUGUCGUCAGCUCGUGCCGUGAGGUGUCAGGUUAAGUCCUAUAACGAGCGCAACCCCUGUUGUUAGUUGCCAGCGAUUCAAGUCGGGAACUCUAACAAGACUGCCGGUGCAAACCGUGAGGAAGGUGGGGAUGACGUCAAAUCAUCACGGCCCUUACGUCCUGGGCUACACACGUGCUACAAUGGUAGGGACAGAGGGAAGCCAACCCCGCGAGGGGGAGCGGAUCUACAAAACCUAUCUCAGUUCGGAAUCGGAGUCUGCAACUCGACUCCGUGAAGCUGGAAUC
Molecule: ribosomal RNA, 415 nt
Filed under: uncultured bacterium
Lineage: Bacteria
Description: bacterial SSU rRNA
Rfam family: Bacterial small subunit ribosomal RNA
Source: RNAcentral